AAAAGGCGCAAGCCUUAGUAGAGCGGCGGACGGGUGAGUAACACGUGGGUAAUCUGCCUAGGAGCGGGGGAUAACCUGGGGAAACUCGGGCUAAUACCGCAUACGAUCAUGGGGUCUCGGCCCUGUGCUGAAAGGUGGCCUCUGCUUGCAAGCUACCACUCCUAGAGGAGCCCGCGCCUGAUUAGCUAGUUGGUGGGGUAACGGCCUACCAAGGCGACGAUCAGUAGCCGGCCUGAGAGGGCGAUCGGCCACACUGGAACUGAGACACGGUCCAGACUCCUACGGGAGGCAGCAGUGAGGAAUCUUGCGCAAUGGGGGAAACCCUGACGCAGCAACGCCGCGUGGAGGAUGAAGGUCUUCGGAUUGUAAACUCCUGUCAGAGGGGACGAAUGUUCACGGGCUAAUCACCGUGAGCUUGACGGUACCCUCAGAGGAAGCCACGGCUAACUCUGUGCCGGCAGCCGCGGUAAUACAGAGGUGGCGAGCGUUAUUCGGAAUUAUUGGGCGUAAAGGGCGCGUAGGCGGCUUGACAAGUCCCGGGUGAAAUCCCUCGGCUCAACCGAGGAACUGCCUUGGAAACUGUCUGGCUUGAGGCCGGGAGAGGGUAGUGGAAUUCCCAGUGUAGCGGUGAAAUGCGUAGAUACUGGGAGGAACACCGGUGGCGAAGGCGGCUACCUGGACCGGUUCUGACGCUGAGGCGCGAAAGCGUGGGUAGCAAACAGGAUUAGAUACCCUGGUAGUCCACGCUGUAAACGAUGGAUGCUCGGUGCUGGGGGUAUCGACCCCUCCGGUGCCUUAGCUAACGCGUUAGGCAU
RNAcentral lists this ribosomal RNA (815 nucleotides) under uncultured Pseudomonadota bacterium. RNAcentral's name for it is "bacterial SSU rRNA". It matches the Rfam family "Bacterial small subunit ribosomal RNA", at positions 72 to 867 of the family's 1533-position model. The record is from RNAcentral. Lineage: Bacteria; Pseudomonadati; Pseudomonadota.